RNAcentral lists this small nuclear RNA (79 nucleotides) under Homo sapiens (human). RNAcentral describes it as "partial ncRNA". Lineage: Eukaryota; Metazoa; Chordata; Mammalia; Primates; Hominidae. The record is from RNAcentral.
AGAGAAUCGCUUGAGCCUGGGAGGCAGAGGUUGCAGUCAGCGGAGAUCGUGCCACUGCGCUCCAGCCUUGGCGACACAG